UACAGAGGUCCCAAGCGUUGUUCGGAUUCAUUGGGCGUAAAGGGUGCGUAGGUGGCGGGGUAAGUCGGAUGUGAAAUCUCGGGGCUCAACCUCGAAACUGCAUUCGAUACUGCCUUGCUAGAGUACUGGAGAGGAGAUCGGGAUUUACGGUGUAGCGGUGAAAUGCGUAGAUAUCGUAAGGAAGGCCGGUGGCGAAGGCGGAUCUCUGGACAGUUACUGACGCUGAGGCGCGAAAGCCAGGGGAGCAAACAGG
RNAcentral lists this ribosomal RNA (253 nucleotides) under uncultured bacterium. RNAcentral's name for it is "partial 16S ribosomal RNA". It matches the Rfam family "Bacterial small subunit ribosomal RNA", at positions 524 to 776 of the family's 1533-position model. The record is from RNAcentral.